GCCAGGCACGGUGGCAUGUGCCUGUAGUCCCAGCUACUUGGGAGGCUGAGGUGGGAGGAUCACUUGAGCCCAGGAGUCCUGGGCUGUAGUGUGCUAUGCCCAUCAGGUGUCUACACUAAUCAUCAAUAUGGUGACCUGGGAGCAGAGGACCACCAGGUUACAUAAGGAGGGGUGAACCGGCCCAGGUCAGAAACGGAGCAGGUCAAAACUCCCGUGCUGCUCAGUAGUGGGAUCGUGCCUGUGAAUAGCCACUGCACUCCAGCCUGGGCAACAUAGCGAGAACCCGUCUCUU
RNAcentral lists this signal recognition particle RNA (292 nucleotides) under Callithrix jacchus (white-tufted-ear marmoset). RNAcentral describes it as "Metazoan signal recognition particle RNA (ENSCJAG00000069127.2)". It matches the Rfam family "Metazoan signal recognition particle RNA". Rfam says of the family: The signal recognition particle (SRP) is a universally conserved ribonucleoprotein. The record is from Rfam by way of RNAcentral. Lineage: Eukaryota; Metazoa; Chordata; Mammalia; Primates; Cebidae.